GGGCGCUUAGCUCAGCGGGAGAGCACUUCCCUUACAAGGAAGGGGUCGCUGGUUCGAGCCCAGCAGCGCCCA
RNAcentral lists this transfer RNA (72 nucleotides) under Actinomycetes bacterium. Its description in RNAcentral is "Actinobacteria bacterium tRNA-Val". It matches the Rfam family "tRNA". From Rfam's summary of the family: Transfer RNA (tRNA) molecules are approximately 80 nucleotides in length. Their secondary structure includes four short double-helical elements and three loops (D, anti-codon, and T loops). RNAcentral also lists the same sequence under 1 other name. Lineage: Bacteria; Bacillati; Actinomycetota; Actinomycetes. The record is from RNAcentral.